UCGUACGCCGGGCUAUAAUUUAUGAAACUGAGCCCCAGAUCCAGCCAAUCACUUAGCUCCUCAUAACAAGUCUAACUGGCUCUGGAAAGCUGAAAGGGCUGCACUAGAACAACAAAGAUGAGAUAGUCCACACAAUAAUCUGCUUAUCUGGAAUCACUUUCCUUCACAAGACCAGGGAAAAAUCACAGCUUCAUUGACUGAAGAAAGGACAGAUGGCCUGGGAAAAUGCAACUACACCUGGAGCAA
Non-coding RNA from Pteropus vampyrus (large flying fox), 246 nucleotides. The record is from Rfam. Lineage: Eukaryota; Metazoa; Chordata; Mammalia; Chiroptera; Pteropodidae.